Molecule: non-coding RNA, 5975 nt
Organism: Podarcis lilfordi (Lilford's wall lizard)
Lineage: Eukaryota; Metazoa; Chordata; Lepidosauria; Squamata; Lacertidae
Source: the annotation of a GenBank genome assembly
AGCAGGAGGAGCUGGUGCUGCUGCUACCGCCGCCACAUGGGGAACGGCGCCCUCCCGCCGCCGCCGCCGCCUCAGGGCACGGAGCAGGCGCCGACGAGGAGGCUCCCUGAGGCGGCAGCCGAGGCCCAGAGGCACCGGGAAGGCCUCGGGCAGCGCCGCCGGAGCCCCUCCUUUUCCUCCCCGCUGCCCUCUCCGCGUCAUACCUGACAGCCGCGGCGCAGCAGCAGCUCCUUGGGGUUUAAUUUGUCGGUGGCGGGUCCGGAUCUGGGAGGUCAGAGUUCGUGACCCCGCUCCCCGCGUUCCGUCCAGCCCCGUCUCUCGCGUGGCGUAACGCCGUUCUGCCUUCCCCUCCCCCAACCGCCGCCGCAGCUGCCGCCGCCGCCACCAGCAUCAGCACGGCUGCGCUUGCGCAAAGCGAGCCCAUGGCGGAGGCGGGGCGAGUGUCACCGGGCCGGCGGGGAGAGAGUGGGAGGAGGAGAGGAGGGAGAGAAGAACCCCCCCCACACACACACCCUGAAGUUGUCACAGCGAUGCUGGGACGGGCGGGUACGGCAGCUAGAACAGCCCUUCCGAAUCUGUAACCGGAGAGGUUUUUUUGCGCUCAGGGCUUUUGUUGCUUUUGGACUCCAGCUCCCGUCAGCCCCAGCCAGCAAGGCCAACGGACAGGAAUGAUGGGAGUUGUAGUCCAGCAGCAUCUGAAGGGCCAAAAGCCUUGUAAAAGGGUGCACGUAGCCUGCCUUGUUGGGGUUUCAGUGUUUAGCCGUUUAUUGUGCUAACCAAACAACAAACAAUAAAAAUAUUUAGAAUAUUAACAUAUGUUCUGUAGUAGUAUGCAAUUAUUAGAACAGGUUAUGGGUUGCAUCCCGUUUUAGUGCUGAUCAGAGUAGACGCACUGAAAUGUAGUCUUACAAUAAAGGGAUUUAAGGACAGAAGUCAUUGAGUAAGCAGGGGCAUUCAGUACCAUUACAUGUACUUAGGCCUAAUUUCAAGAGAUAUGAUGAUGAUGAUGAUGAUAUUCUUCAGUUAUGUUAUCUUCCUCAAAGCAACUUGCAACUAAACAUGACAGCAUUUUAACAUGUAAUAUAAUGAAAAAAUACACACUUGUGACAUUGGUACUGUUAGAAGAAAAAACUGCUCCUUUCCCCUUAUGGGGUAUUCCAGAGCCUGUAGAGUCCUCCUAAGGUUCCUUAUCAGCAGGAGAAAGUAACAGAGACCAACCAGAGGAUAUUGAGAAGCAAAGCUGCAAGCAAGCCUGAUCUAUUAAAGAAAUUGUUGCAACAGGGACUGCCCACUCACCACAGGCAGGAGGAAGGAGAACCCUGAACAAUGGUGCACAAGUCCUUAUAUAGACUUUUGAAAUUGCCCACCCUGUAGCCCAAGACCAUUCCCCUGAAACAUCAUACAUCACAGAAGGAGGCAGUCUACAGCAGAAAUCCUGUUUGCCAAGAUACCUAUUGAUGGUCACUGACUGCAUUAUCUGGGCAGUCUAGCCAUUCUUUUGUGAGGGUUAAUACUUUAGUUCCUGAAUCCAGGUCACAGGCUCACCCUAUUCAUACACAAUGCGGCCUUAAGACAGGAUUUGCAAGCAAAAAGACAAUGGGAAGGCUUUCCCCAUUUGCCUCCCUUAAAGCAGAGGAAUAUUUGAGGUAACUGGGAGAGUCAAAAUGGCUUCAGGAUUGCUCUCCUGUAUUACCGGUAUUUCAGACACAUGGUUUAUGUACUUAUGUAUGUGUUUGCCUUGUACAUUUAUGAACAUUUAAUUUAUAUUUGAGACCUUAGAAUUCUUAUAACAUUAUCUUGCCCCUUAAUGAGUCUCUGUAAAAACUGAAUCUGCUUGGGACCCUCUGGAGAUCUAGAUGUGAGUAAACAAUCAAGUAGUACUGUUGCCUGGGAAGCAGGUGAGCCAAGGAUGGCUGUGCAGUUUACCUUUGAUGUAGCUGUAUUCCCUCACCUCCUCAGCUUCAGUGUGCUGCUGCUUUGGGAAGCUUAGGUGAUGGUGAGCAAGACUGCAAUCUUGUACACAGUUAUCUAGGAGUAAAAAAUGCCCCUUUUCCUUCAGAAGAUAGACUUGGCCAUUGUCAUUCAUGAUUUAAUUGAAAAAUACAUCUGGGAGCUCUGCUGACCUGCUUAUGAACUUGAGCAGGUCACUUGUCUCAGUCAGUAGUCUGCCUUCAGAAAAACAGAUGUUGCAGCAAUAAACGGAUAGUGUAGUGUUUUGGAUUUAGGUGUGCACAGUGCUAUACUAGAAAAGAGGUGCCAGAACUCAUCAUGAACACCUCCCUUGUUCUCUUAUAAUGUCAAUGGCACCCACCUGAGAGGUGCUGGAACUGAGUUCCAGCUGGAAAAAAAGCCCUGGGUGUGAACCAAGUGAGUGCAAGUCACUUGACUCCAUCUAGUUCAGCACUCUGCUUCUAAGCAGUGGCUUAUCGGCUCCACAUGGGAAACUUAAAUGUAAGACAUGAGGGCAACUGUAUUCCUGUUUGUCCCCAGCUCCUGCUAUGAGCAGUGGCAGCUAGGAAGAGAUUUGUGCUUGCCCAAUGCAAUGUAUUUAUAUGUUUCGAUCUGUAUUAUACAUACAUCUUCUGUCUUGCUCAUGCUCCAGCAUGGCCAAUAUAUUAAGAGCUAUAGUCAAUAAUUUUUCCUCUCUUCCCCUUGACACCUCAGGCAGUUCUUUCAGAGCUCUUGUUUUUUGCUGAGGAGUGGAAAUUAGGGAAGCACCCCAAAGAUGGCUUGAGGGUACUGACCUCAUCAGCCUCCUGCUAACAAGAGUUAUAUCUUCAGUGUAUUGAAUGGAUGUGAGUGAUAAGCCCAUCUUCCUAGGCAGCAGAUACUGUUAGGAGAGAAAGGGACAAUCUGGGGAGUCCCAGGAUUUAAACUACUGUAGAACAUACAUAGUCCUAUGUAGCCACUGCAUGUAGUGAUAUAAAAAGGUAAAAGGACCCCUGGACGGUUAAGUCCAGUCAAAGGUGACUAUGGGGUACUGUGCUCAUCUCAUUUCAGGCCGAGGGAACCAGCGUUUGUCCACAGACAGCUUUCUGGGUCAUGUGGCCAGCAUGACUAAACCGCUUCUGGUGCAACGAGACCCCGUGACAAGUGCCAGAGUGCACAGAAACGCCAUUUACCUUCCCGACGCAGCGAUACCUAUUUAUCUACUUGUGCUGGUAUCCUUUUGAACUGCUAGGUUGGCAAAAGCUGGGACAGCAACGUGAGCUGACCCUGUCUUGCAGAUUCAAACAGCUGACCUUCCAAUCGGCAAACCCAAGAGACUUGGUGGUUUGGAUCACAGUACCACCCAUGUCCCUAUGUAGUGGUAUAUGCUGUAGCGUAGCCUUGUAUUUAAGUGAUAGACAAGGAAUUGUAUUGAGGGGUGUGAGUGUCAGGCUGAUUGAGGAGGGAUGGAUUGCUUUGUUCCUCUGUGUCCAACUUAGCAACCAAGUGGGUUGCCAAAAGAGGGACCACCCCUCCACGGCCAACACAGAAAUGCAAAACUCUGUCCCUCUUUUGCCUGGCCCUGGAAGACUAAUAAAACAUUUUGUAAACUAGUAUGGUCUUAUUUUAUUUAUUUAUUAAAUUUAUAUAGCCACCCAUCAAUAAAUACUUCCUUGGUGGCUUACAAAACAAAUAAUGAAGACAAGUGUACAGUAAUUAAAAUCAAUAUGCAACAAAAAUUACAACAUUUUAUUUAUAAAUUACUUAUUUUACAAGGCUCCUCUAAGUGAAUGGCUGCUAAAAAGAGCAGCAAGGAUCCUGGGGGCUGACAGUGCAGUAGAAACUGCCAGAAAUACACCCAGGUAUAGCAUAUCUCUGUUUUAUUUUAAAAUACACACAAACUCCAUAACUGUGACUGAUUUGCAGGCAUCUCAUUACAGGACCCAAGCUAGGUUUCUUUGGAAAGAAGUGCACAGGGGGUAGAGAAACAUUGUCAGCCAUAUGGCUGUCAAAUCCAAAUUUAGUGGCCGGAAUAUUUUGGGCAAGCAGGUAAGUGUAAUAUUUUAUCAAUACACACACAGUGUUUAUUAUAUUCAGGAGACUCUGCUUUUACUCAUUUGCCACUGGGCGAGGGAGACACUUCAAAUUUAUUUUGAUAAAAACGUAACUACGUAUUUCUGAUUACUUUCAGUUGUUUUAAUUUGCAACAUUAAAAGUUCUGUUCAUUCUGUUCAUUCUGUUAUUGUCAGUACAAUCUAUAAGAGCACUUGAAAAAUUAUAGAACAGUAGAUGAAACAAAACUGUCAGUGCCUCUUACAUUCUGUGACACUUCUACACUUGAGAUCACUGAAACCUGUUAAGCAUAUUUCUUAAAUUGUUAAGGGAUUACAUAAACAUACCACAUUCCUUUUUUGCAGACACUUAAUUGGAAACAAUAUUGCUUGCUCUAUUCUAUAGCAUCUACUUGACAAGGAGAAAAUCACUAUAACUAUAUCAACUCCCUCUAAACCAGACCACAGCAGUAGUAAUUAAAUAAAUCAGAACCCAGAAGGUCAUCUUGCAACAACAUUGCGCACAGAACAUCUUUUGAUUCAUUUCUCCCUUCCCGCUAACGGCAACUCUACUGACCAAGCCAUUUCUGAACUAUACUUCAAAAUGCUUCCAGAUUCAACACCAAGAUGCUUCUAUUAAGAGCAGGGGGAAGAGUGAAAAGGCCCAGCACCCACACACAAGGCUAAAGGGGCUGCCUAGAUUGCAACCGCAUAUUGUUAGUUACCUGGUUCAUAAUGGUAGUGGUAUUUGCAGUCUUGCAUUUCUUUUCAAAUACUCAGGAGCAGCCUCUGCCAACCUAGUGCUGUCCAGCUGUUUUGGGGCCAAAACUCCUAUCAGCCUCAAGUCUCCAAGUGUACUCCCACUUCUUCCUUUGUAGUCACACUUGACUUCAGUGCUUUUUGAACACAGUGCCUUUUCCAGAAAAAAGGCUCAAAAUCAGGGCAUGGCUGUGAAGGAGGAACUGGGAGUACACUCAAGCUUUAGAGCAGUAUUAUUCAAUCUUGGGUGCUGUUGUACUACAACUCCCAUCUUCACCAGCAAACUUAGCCAAUGGUCAACAACAUCGGGGGACCCAAGGUUGACAAAUACUACUUUAAAGUGUGCUCUCAAUAUUUCGUAUCAACUGAUGUGAUAUGCCAAGUAAUUGGCACGUGGCUGUCAAUAUGGCCUGCAGAAAGUUGGCCAUUUUGGGAUUCCAUCCCUUGAGCUAAAAGUGGCUUCCCACUUCUGCUUUAGGCGAAAUUCCUAUACUAGCAAGCUCCUUGGUAUUUGGCUAUCAUUCAUCCUGCUUAUUAAGAACUCUUAUGCAAUCACCUUGGGGUUCACUGUUGGGCAAAAAAUGUAGUGUAUAGCACACUCUGUACAUGGUCCAAGACAAAAUGGGACUGUGGGGCGGGAGCAGAGUGUACCAGCCUUCAACCCGUGCACUUCAGAUGUUGCUAGACUCCCAAUUUCCAUUAGUCCCAGCCAGCAUGGUCAAGGAUCAUGGAAGCUGUAGUCCAACAACAGAUGAAAGGCACCAGCUGGGGAAAGCUGGACUAUACAGAAUAGCUCCUCAGUUAAGAAACCAUUUUAAUACAGAAGCAGUUCCUCUGUUUUGAAUUUUCCCAUUGAAAACAGACACCAACUAACAUGAAAUCAGUUAUUUUUUAUCCUACAUAGGCCAGCCAAUAUAUUUAAAAAUAAAAAAUACACAUUACCAAAGAUAAAGCAAAAUCUUUGGGACCAUAUGCUCAUCUUUGGCAGCAAGGCAAUUUUUCUGUUAGUGAUGCAACAACCCUUGUACUAGAAGCAAACAAAAAACUCAACAGAUAUUUUAUUCUUCUUCCAUGUUGUAAAAAUAAUUAAGAACAAUGAUGUGAACAAGCAACUUGGUGAACACCAAAGUAUCCUAUUCUGAAAUGUCCACCAGGAUAUUUUCAGCUUAGAUACAAGAAUUGCAUAAUUACCCAACUUCCUAAUGUUCUAAAUACUAGUAUUUCCCUGACUUGUCC